CUCUUUGCGCUUGGGGCAAUGAUGCAGUUAGUGAGGUGAAACCGAGACGCGUCAAUUGCUGGUUGAAACCUAUUUCCAAACUAU
RNAcentral lists this small nuclear RNA (84 nucleotides) under Marchantia polymorpha subsp. ruderalis. RNAcentral describes it as "U4 spliceosomal RNA". It matches the Rfam family "U4 spliceosomal RNA", at positions 1 to 83 of the family's 138-position model. From Rfam's summary of the family: U4 small nuclear RNA (U4 snRNA) is a component of the major U2-dependent spliceosome. The structure of U4 snRNA from yeast and human has been reported. Lineage: Eukaryota; Viridiplantae; Streptophyta; Marchantiopsida; Marchantiales; Marchantiaceae. The record is from Rfam by way of RNAcentral.